UACGGAAGGCGGCAGUGGGGAAUAUUGCACAAUGGGCGCAAGCCUGAUGCAGCCAUGCCGCGUGUAUGAAGAAGGCCUUCGGGUUGUAAAGUACUUUCAGUCGUGAGGAAGGUGUUAAGGUUAAUAACCUUAGCAAUUGACGUUAGCGACAGAAGAAGCACCGGCUAACUCCGUGCCAGCAGCCGCGGUAAUACGGAGGGUGCGAGCGUUAAUCGGAAUUACUGGGCGUAAAGGGCACGCAGGCGGUUAAUUAAGUUGGAUGUGAAAUCCCCGGGCUUAACCUGGGAAUGGCAUUCAAGCUGGUUAGCUAGAGUCUUGUAGAGGGGGUGAAUUCCAUGUGUAGCGGUGAAAUGCGUAGAGAUGUGGAGGAAUACCGGUGGCGAAGGCGGCCCCUGGACAAAGACUGACGCUCAUGUGCGAAAGCGUGGGGAGCAAACAGGGAUUAGAUACC
This 451-nucleotide ribosomal RNA is filed under the name uncultured bacterium. RNAcentral describes it as "bacterial SSU rRNA". It matches the Rfam family "Bacterial small subunit ribosomal RNA", at positions 340 to 786 of the family's 1533-position model. The record is from RNAcentral.